This 465-nucleotide ribosomal RNA is filed under the name uncultured bacterium. RNAcentral's name for it is "partial 16S ribosomal RNA". It matches the Rfam family "Bacterial small subunit ribosomal RNA", at positions 338 to 795 of the family's 1533-position model. The record is from RNAcentral.
CCUACGGGAGACAGCAGUGGGGAAUAUUGCGCAAUGGGCGAAAGCCUGACGCAGCGACGCCGCGUGAGGGAUGAAGGUCUUCGGAUCGUAAACCUCUGUCAGCAGGGAAGAACGGUCACUGUGCUAAUCAGCAGUGAAUUGACGGUACCUGCAAAGGAAGCACCGGCUAACUCCGUGCCAGCAGCCGCGGUAAUCCGGAGGGUGCGAGCGUUAAUCGGAGUUACUGGGCGUAAAGCGCUCGUAGGCGGUAUGUCAAGUCAAGGGUGAAAUCCCCGCGCUCAACGUGGGAACUGCCUUUGAAACUGGCAAACUGGGGUGUGUGAGAGGAUAGUGGAAUUCCAGGUGUAGGAGUGAAAUCCGUAGAUAUCUGGAGGAACAUCAGUGGCGAAGGCGACUAUCUGGCACAUAACUGACGCUGAGGAGCGAAAGCGUGGGUAGCAAACAGGAUUAGAUACCCCUGUAGUC